AAAAACAUCUCUUCUUGAGAUUAAAAAUAAGAGGUAGGCUCUGCUCAGUGAAUUUAAUUAAAUAGCCGCAGUAUUUUGACUGUGCUAAGGUAGCGUAAUAAUUUGCCUUAUAAUAGAGGGCUAGAAUAAAGGAGUUGACGGUACUUGUGCUUUUUUCUCGGUGUAAUUUGAAUUUGAUAUCUUCGUAAAAAAGUGAAGUUCUUCUAAAGGGACGAUAAGACCCUAUAAAGCUUUACUAAAAGUUUUUUAUAAAGGAGAAGGGGAUAUAAGAGGAUUAGUUGAGCUGGGGCGGUAUCUACAGGGCUGUAGAAAAUAUAACAGAGGAUGUCUGGGGGUGAGGAUCUUUUGGAGAUAUAGAACAAGCUACUUUAGGGAUAACAGCAUAAUUUUUUUUUAUAGUUCAUAUAGAUAAAAAAGACUUAUGACCUCGAUGUUGAAUUGAGAAGUUUUCUUAAGGCAGAGAUUAAGAGGAGGGGUCUGUUCGACCUAUAAAUUCUCACGUGAUCUGAGUUCA
This 514-nucleotide ribosomal RNA is filed under the name Eurycope sp. 5 SB-2021a. RNAcentral describes it as "partial 16S ribosomal RNA". It matches the Rfam family "Bacterial large subunit ribosomal RNA", at positions 1809 to 2613 of the family's 2925-position model. The record is from RNAcentral. Lineage: Eukaryota; Metazoa; Arthropoda; Malacostraca; Isopoda; Munnopsidae.